AAUUACCCAAUCCUGACACAGGGAGGUAGUGACAAGAAAUAACAAUACAGGGCAAUUGUCUUGUAAUUGGAAUGAUGGUGACCUAAACCCUCACCAGAGUAACAAUUGGAGGGCAAGUCUGGUGCCAGCAGCCGCGGUAAUUCCAGCUCCAAUAGCGUAUAUUAAACUUGUUGCAGUUAAAAAGCUCGUAGUUGAAUUUCUGCGUUAUCGAGUUAUUGACUCUUGUCUUUAAUCGAUUUCGCUUUUGGGAUUUAUCCCUUUUUACUUUGAGAAAAUUAGAGUGUUUCAAGCAGACUUUUGUCUUGAAUACUUCAGCAUGGAAUAAUAGAGUAGGACUUUGGUUCUAUUUUGUUGGUUUUUGAACCUUAGUAAUGGUUAAUAGGAACGGUUGGGGGCAUUCGUAUUUAA
Molecule: ribosomal RNA, 408 nt
Filed under: Babesia venatorum (nom. ined.)
Lineage: Eukaryota; Apicomplexa; Aconoidasida; Piroplasmida; Babesiidae
Description: SSU rRNA
Rfam family: Eukaryotic small subunit ribosomal RNA
Source: RNAcentral